GAUGAAGAACGCAGUGAAAUGCGAUACGUAAUGUGAAUUGCAAAUUCAGUGAAUCAUCGAGUCUUUGAACGCACAUUGCGCCCGCUGGUAUUCCGGCGGGCAUGCCUGUUCGAGCGUCAUUUCAACCCUCAAGCCCCCGGGUUUGGUGUUGGGGAUCGGCUCUGCCCUUCUGGGCGGUGCCGCCCCCGAAAUACAUUGGCGGUCUCGCUGCAGCCUCCAUUGCGUAGUAGCUAACACCUCGCAACUGGAACGCGGCGCGGCCAUGCCGUAAAACCCCAACUUCUGAAUGUUGACCUCGGAUCAGGUAGGAAUACCCGCUGAACUUAAGCAUAUCAAUAAGCGGAGGA
Molecule: unclassified non-coding RNA, 347 nt
Filed under: soil metagenome
Description: partial contains 5.8S ribosomal RNA, internal transcribed spacer 2, and large subunit ribosomal RNA
Rfam family: 5.8S ribosomal RNA (bases 1-119)
Source: RNAcentral